Molecule: ribosomal RNA, 471 nt
Filed under: uncultured organism
Description: partial 16S ribosomal RNA
Rfam family: Bacterial small subunit ribosomal RNA
Source: RNAcentral
CACUCCUACGGGAGGCAGCAGUGGGGAAUUUUGGACAAUGGGCGAAAGCCUGAUCCAGCAAUGCCGCGUGAGUGAAGAAGGCCUUCGGGUUGUAAAGCUCUUUUGUCAGGGAAGAAACGGUGAAAGCUAAUAUCUUUUGCUAAUGACGGUACCUGAAGAAUAAGCACCGGCUAACUACGUGCCAGCAGCCGCGGUAAUACGUAGGGUGCAAGCGUUAAUCGGAAUUACUGGGCGUAAAGCGUGCGCAGGCGGUUUUGUAAGUCUGAUGUGAAAUCCCCGGGCUCAACCUGGGAAUUGCAUUGGAGACUGCAAGGCUAGAAUCUGGCAGAGGGGGGUAGAAUUCCACGUGUAGCAGUGAAAUGCGUAGAUAUGUGGAGGAACACCGAUGGCGAAGGCAGCCCCCUGGGUCAAGAUUGACGCUCAUGCACGAAAGCGUGGGGAGCAAACAGGAUUAGAAACCCUAGUAGUCCC